UUUUUUUUUUUUUUUUGUUGCUUUGCAACAAUUUCUAUUCUCUCUUUGUUUUGUUACAAACUUUUCUAUUAAGAGUUGUAGAAUCACUUUAGUUAACAUGAAUCUACUUUCCGUAUGAACUGGGUAUUUUUGAUGUUAACAGAGCUUAUCCUCUGUUAAACAGAGGGCCAGGCCAUAUUUCUUUGGGGUUAGAGAGUUGUAAUCCUUAUUUACCACCAAAUUGAAAAAAUAGUGUUGGUAGCAUUUAAGCUAGGACAACGAUGUUGCGUACUUGCAUUCUUUAAGUUUAAAUCAAAUAAUAUCUUACUAAUGUAUUAUAUUUUAAGAAGAACUCAUGCAUUAAUUGUUAAUGAUGAAUCUUUGGGUCAUGCGAUAUUGAUAGUUUAUUGAGAAUAUUGUAAGUUUUAAUCAUUGAUUGAAUGAAGGUAUAAGUAAUUUUGUAAAUCUUUGUACAAAUUUUGUCAUGUGGGCAAUUGCCUAAUUGCCUUUACUACAAGAUGGGGCCAUUGCCAAAGAUCACCUAGACUAUUUGACAAACUGACCUUCAUAGUUCAAAUAUCUAGAAAUUAGCAGCAUGAUGGAGCUAGUUUGCACCAUUUUAUUUAAUACAUACCCGUAUAUGCAUGCAUGUACAUAUAAGUAUAUUCUUAUUAGAAAUAUAAUCUAACUUGGGGAUUUUGUAGAUUUUGUACGAAUUAACUAAUCAUCAAAUGAAUAGAUAAUUAAACUAGUUAGAAGUUCUAGAUGUGUCUGGGUAGUGGAGGUUCUUUUGUGAGAUUGUCAUUUGAUUAGAUCGAAGCCCUCUAAGCGCAUAGGGCUUAUGCUGCUUGUUAUGCCACAAAUCGGAAAUAUGGCAUGGCCAUGCUAUUGUAGGGUAUCGUCCACAAUAACACGAAACCCACAAUAAAAGAUCCAUAAAAAAAAUUAUUCCAUAAAGGAUAUAAGAAGUAUGUUCCAAAAAUUUCUCCAUUUAUUAAAUAAAGUGCUGAUACAGAGCAUUUAAGCUCAGAGUUUAAAUAUUCAAAAACUACAAAAACCUAUAAUUCACUAAGAUGAUUAAUCAGAUCUAUUAUGAGCCAACUAAUUAGAUUUAUGCAACUAUGCUUCCAAGCGUACUAUCUCGACCUCCAAACCAAAAUAGUGGCUCUCUGCUGCAGCCUUAUUUGUCUGAAAAGAAUAAAGGGAAAAGUGGCUCAGUAAGUAACCUUGCACUACUUUAUUGGAUCAAGCAUAAGUUUUAUAUAAUUUUAAUGCACUAUUUAGAAAAUAACUUUUACUGCAAAUUAAAGCAUUUCAUAUGCAAAAUAAUAUAACAAACCA
This 1320-nucleotide long non-coding RNA is filed under the name Phoenix dactylifera (date palm). RNAcentral's name for it is "long non-coding RNA (PDAC_LNC015030)". The record is from RNAcentral. Lineage: Eukaryota; Viridiplantae; Streptophyta; Magnoliopsida; Arecales; Arecaceae.